GGGCCCGUGGCGCAGAUUGGCUAGCGCGUUCGGCUGAUAACCGGAAGGUCCGGGGUUCGAAUCCCCGCGGGCCCA
RNAcentral lists this transfer RNA (75 nucleotides) under Hadesarchaea archaeon. RNAcentral describes it as "tRNA-Ile". It matches the Rfam family "tRNA". From Rfam's summary of the family: Transfer RNA (tRNA) molecules are approximately 80 nucleotides in length. Their secondary structure includes four short double-helical elements and three loops (D, anti-codon, and T loops). Further hydrogen bonds mediate the characteristic L-shaped molecular structure. tRNAs have two regions of fundamental functional importance: the anti-codon, which is responsible for specific mRNA codon recognition, and the 3' end, to which the tRNAs corresponding amino acid is attached (by aminoacyl-tRNA synthetases). tRNAs cope with the degeneracy of the genetic code in two manners: having more than one tRNA (with a specific anti-codon) for a particular amino acid; and 'wobble' base-pairing, i.e. permitting non-standard base-pairing at the 3rd anti-codon position. Lineage: Archaea; Methanobacteriati; Hadarchaeota (SeqCode); Hadarchaeia (SeqCode). The record is from RNAcentral.